GGAGCAUGUGGUUUAAUUCGAAGCAACGCGCAGAACUUACCAGCGUUUGACAUGGUAGGACGACUGGCAGAGAUGCCUUUCUUCCCUUCGGGGACCUACACACAGGUGCUGCAUGGCUGUCGUCAGCUCGUGUCGUGAGAUGUUGGGUUAAGUCCCGCAACGAGCGCAACCCUCGACUUUAGUUACCAUCAUUAAGUUGGGUACUUUAAAGUAACCGCCGGUGAUAAGCCGGAGGAAGGUGGGGAUGACGUCAAGUCCUCAUGGCCCUUACGCGCUGGGCUACACACGUGCUACAAUGGCAAGUACAGUGGGCAGCAAUCCCGCGAGGGUGAGCUAAUCUCCAAAACUUGUCUCAGUUCGGAUUGUUCUCUGCAACUCGAGAGCAUGAAGGCGGAAUCGCUAGUAAUCGCGGAUCAGCAUGCCGCGGUGAAUACGUUCCCAGGCCUU
This 447-nucleotide ribosomal RNA is filed under the name uncultured Sphingomonas sp. RNAcentral's name for it is "bacterial SSU rRNA". It matches the Rfam family "Bacterial small subunit ribosomal RNA", at positions 934 to 1382 of the family's 1533-position model. The record is from RNAcentral. Lineage: Bacteria; Pseudomonadati; Pseudomonadota; Alphaproteobacteria; Sphingomonadales; Sphingomonadaceae.